Molecule: ribosomal RNA, 865 nt
Filed under: Citrobacter freundii
Lineage: Bacteria; Pseudomonadati; Pseudomonadota; Gammaproteobacteria; Enterobacterales; Enterobacteriaceae
Description: bacterial SSU rRNA
Rfam family: Bacterial small subunit ribosomal RNA
Source: RNAcentral
UCGAACGGGUAGCACAGUAGAGCUUUGCUCUCGGGUGACGAGUGGCGGACGGGUGAGUAAUGUCUGGGAAACUGCCCGAUGGAGGGGGAUAACUACUGGAAACGGUAGCUAAUACCGCAUAAUGUCGCAAGACCAAAGAGGGGGACCUUCGGGCCUCUUGCCAUCGGAUGUGCCCAGAUGGGAUUAGCUAGUAGGUGAGGUAACGGCUCACCUAGGCGACGAUCCCUAGCUGGUCUGAGAGGAUGACCAGCCACACUGGAACUGAGACACGGUCCAGACUCCUACGGGAGGCAGCAGUGGGGAAUAUUGCACAAUGGGCGCAAGCCUGAUGCAGCCAUGCCGCGUGUAUGAAGAAGGCCUUCGGGUUGUAAAGUACUUUCAGCGAGGAGGAAGGCGUUGUGGUUAAUAACCACAGCGAUUGACGUUACUCGCAGAAGAAGCACCGGCUAACUCCGUGCCAGCAGCCGCGGUAAUACGGAGGGUGCAAGCGUUAAUCGGAAUUACUGGGCGUAAAGCGCACGCAGGCGGUCUGUCAAGUCGGAUGUGAAAUCCCCGGGCUCAACCUGGGAACUGCAUCCGAAACUGGCAGGCUAGAGUCUUGUAGAGGGGGGUAGAAUUCCAGGUGUAGCGGUGAAAUGCGUAGAGAUCUGGAGGAAUACCGGUGGCGAAGGCGGCCCCCUGGACAAAGACUGACGCUCAGGUGCGAAAGCGUGGGGAGCAUACAGGAUUAGAUACCCUGGUAGUCCACGCCGUAAACGAUGUCGACUUGGAGGUUGUGCCCUUGAGGCGUGGCUUCCGGAGCUAACGCGUUAAGUCGACCGCCUGGGGAAGUACGGCCGCAAGGUUAAAACUCAAAUGAAUUGAC